GUGAAGUUACUGAAUAAGCUAAGUUAACACGCGAAGUUAAGGAAUAUGCAUCAAUCAAAUUUAAUUAACACCAUUAUAUACAACUCGAAUUAAGGAAAUAAGAAUACAUAAAAUAUGAUUGAAAGUAAAUGAAUUAAAACUAAUAAUAUAAUAACCUCAAAGUCUUGAGAAAAUUCUGAAAUAGUAGAUUAAUCUUGGAGUUUAGGCGACCAUGUAAUCCUAAUGUAAUUUAUAAUUCCUAAAAACUGUAUCCCUUUCC
This 259-nucleotide long non-coding RNA is filed under the name Lathyrus oleraceus (garden pea). RNAcentral's name for it is "Pisum sativum (pea) long non-coding RNA (PSAT_LNC023130)". Lineage: Eukaryota; Viridiplantae; Streptophyta; Magnoliopsida; Fabales; Fabaceae. The record is from RNAcentral.